This 253-nucleotide ribosomal RNA is filed under the name uncultured bacterium. RNAcentral describes it as "partial 16S ribosomal RNA". It matches the Rfam family "Bacterial small subunit ribosomal RNA", at positions 524 to 776 of the family's 1533-position model. The record is from RNAcentral.
UACGAAGGGGUCUAGCGUUGUUCGGAUUUACUGGGCGUAAAGCGCACGUAGGCGGAUUGCUAAGUCAGGGGUGAAAUCCUGGAGCUCAACUCCAGAACUGCCUUUGAUACUGGCGAUCUUGAGUCCGGGAGAGGUGAGUGGAACUGCGAGUGUAGAGGUGAAAUUCGUAGAUAUUCGCAAGAACACCAGUGGCGAAGGCGGCUCACUGGCCCGGUACUGACGCUGAGGUGCGAAAGCGUGGGGAGCAAACAGG